This 70-nucleotide transfer RNA is filed under the name Antrostomus carolinensis (chuck-will's-widow). RNAcentral describes it as "tRNA-Pro". It matches the Rfam family "tRNA". From Rfam's summary of the family: Transfer RNA (tRNA) molecules are approximately 80 nucleotides in length. Their secondary structure includes four short double-helical elements and three loops (D, anti-codon, and T loops). Lineage: Eukaryota; Metazoa; Chordata; Aves; Caprimulgiformes; Caprimulgidae. The record is from RNAcentral.
CAGGAGAUAGUUUAAUGUAAAAUGCCAGCUUUGGGAGUUGGAGAUGGAGGUUUAAGUCCUCUUUUCCUGA